RNAcentral lists this ribosomal RNA (518 nucleotides) under Dicranomyia iniquispina. RNAcentral's name for it is "partial 16S ribosomal RNA". The stretch from base 384 to 518 matches the Rfam family "Bacterial large subunit ribosomal RNA", at positions 2473 to 2607 of the family's 2925-position model. The record is from RNAcentral. Lineage: Eukaryota; Metazoa; Arthropoda; Insecta; Diptera; Limoniidae.
UUUUUGAAUUUAAUUUAAAGUYUAACCUGCCCMCUGAAAAUUUUUAAAGGGCCGCGGUAUUUUGACUGUGCAAAGGUAGCAUAAUCAUUAGUUUUUUAAUUGAAAGCUUGUAUGAAAGGUUGGACGAAGUAUUUACUGUCUCAUAAAAAUUUAUAAUAGAAAUUAAUUUUUUUGUUAAAAAGCAAAAAUAAAAUUAAAAGACGAGAAGACCCUAUAGAGCUUUAUAUUUUUAUUAUUUAAUUUAUUUAGAUUUUUAAAAAUUUUAUAAAAAAAAAUAUUUUGUUGGGGUGACAAUAAGAUUUAAAAAACUUUUAUUAUUUUAUUACAUUGAUUUAUGAAAAUUUGAUCCAUUAUUAAUGAUUAAAAAAUUAAGUUACCUUAGGGAUAACAGCGUAAUUUUUUUUAAGAGUUCAUAUCGACAAAAAAGAUUGCGACCUCGAUGUUGAAUUAAGAGUUAUUUUUAGGUGUAGAAGUUUAAAGUUUAGGUCUGUUCGACCUUUGAAUUCUUACGUGAUCUG